RNAcentral lists this ribosomal RNA (483 nucleotides) under uncultured bacterium. Its description in RNAcentral is "partial 16S ribosomal RNA". It matches the Rfam family "Bacterial small subunit ribosomal RNA", at positions 30 to 507 of the family's 1533-position model. The record is from RNAcentral.
AUUGAACGCUGGCGGCAGGCCUAACACAUGCAAGUCGAGCGGAUGAAGGGAGCUUGCUCCUGGAUUCAGCGGCGGACGGGUGAGUAAUGCCUAGGAAUCUGCCUGGUAGUGGGGAUAACGUCCGGAAACGGGCGCUAAUACCGCAUACGUCCUGAGGGAGAAAGUGGGGGAUCUUCGGACCUCACGCUAUCAGAUGAGCCUAGGUCGGAUUAGCUAGUUGGUGGGGUAAAGACCUACCAAGGCGACGAUCCGUAACUGGUCUGAGAGGAUGAUCAGUCACACUGGAACUGAGACACGGUCCAGACUCCUACGGGAGGCAGCAGUGGGGAAUAUUGGACAAUGGGCGAAAGCCUGAUCCAGCCAUGCCGCGUGUGUGAAGAAGGUCUUCGGAUUGUAAAGCACUUUAAGUUGGGAGGAAGGGCAGUAAGUUAAUACCUUGCUGUUUUGACGUUACCAACAGAAUAAGCACCGGCUAACUUCGUG